UACGUAGGGACCGAGCGUUGUCCGGAAUCAUUGGGCGUAAAGAGCGUGUAGGCGGCCAAUUAAGUCCUGCGUGAAAUCUCGGGGCUCAACCCCGAGCGGUCGUGGGAAACUGGUUGGCUAGAGUGCGGGAGAGGAGAGUGGAAUUCCUGGUGUAGCGGUGAAAUGCGCAGAUAUCAGGAAGAACACCCGUGGCGAGGGCGGCUCUCUGGAACGCAACUGACGCUGAGACGCGAAAGCGUGGGGAGCAAACAGG
This 253-nucleotide ribosomal RNA is filed under the name uncultured bacterium. RNAcentral describes it as "partial 16S ribosomal RNA". It matches the Rfam family "Bacterial small subunit ribosomal RNA", at positions 524 to 776 of the family's 1533-position model. The record is from RNAcentral.